GCAUAUUUGGAAUCCCCAGAACGUUGGCUUCAAGAAGCACCUAUCAUCUUCGCAUAUAGAGGCUUAAUAGAACGAGGUCUCAAGAUGAUAAUCCGCCCCAAUGAUGUUGUUGUACUGGAUUUAUUGAUGUCAUCAAAUCCCCAACGUUCAUUUGCUUUGGUAAGACCAGUUAACUGCAAUUAGUAUAUGAACACUUUUACAUUACCACAUUCAAUAUUUGUACAAUAGUUACAGUGCUGGGCAAGAUUUUUCCAGGUAUGAAGGAUUAAGGAAAGUUAACAUUUAUUGUUUCUUCUACUCCGGUCCCCUUCUUAAUAUACUGUAAUGUGAGUUCAGUUGGCAUCGCUGCUGCAACGUAGUGUGGUUGAAGAACAACCUUUGUUUUCUGGCGUUAAUGCAAAAGUGGCAUUGUUUAAA
Capsicum annuum is the source of this 417-nucleotide long non-coding RNA. RefSeq lists it as uncharacterized. The transcript is spliced from 2 exons. The record is from RefSeq and is a predicted model, not a curated record. NCBI's taxonomy places the organism in Eukaryota, Viridiplantae, Streptophyta, Magnoliopsida, Solanales, Solanaceae.